Molecule: ribosomal RNA, 858 nt
Filed under: uncultured bacterium
Lineage: Bacteria
Description: bacterial SSU rRNA
Rfam family: Bacterial small subunit ribosomal RNA
Source: RNAcentral
GAGCGUUAUCCGGAUUUAUUGGGUUUAAAGGGAGCGUAGGUGGAUUGUUAAGUCAGUUGUGAAAGUUUGCGGCUCAACCGUAAAAUUGCAGUUGAAACUGGCAGUCUUGAGUACAGUAGAGGUGGGCGGAAUUCGUGGUGUAGCGGUGAAAUGCUUAGAUAUCACGCAGAACUCCGAUUGCGAAGGCAGCUUACUAAACUAUAACUGACACUGAAGCACGAAAGCGUGGGGAUCAAACAGGAUUAGAUACCCUGGUAGUCCACGCAGUAAACGAUGAUUACUAGCUGUUUGCGAUACACAGUAAGCGGCACAGCGAAAGCGUUAAGUAAUCCACCUGGGGAGUACGCCGGCAACGGUGAAACUCAAAGGAAUUGACGGGGGCCCGCACAAGCGGAGGAACAUGUGGUUUAAUUCGAUGAUACGCGAGGAACCUUACCCGGGUUUGAACGCAUAUUGACAGCUCUGGAAACAGAGUCUCUAGUAAUAGCAAUUUGCGAGGUGCUGCAUGGUUGUCGUCAGCUCGUGCCGUGAGGUGUCGGCUUAAGUGCCAUAACGAGCGCAACCCUUAUCACUAGUUACUAACAGGUCAUGCUGAGGACUCCAGUGAGACUGCCAGCGUAAGCUGUGAGGAAGGUGGGGAUGACGUCAAAUCAGCACGGCCCUUACAUCCGGGGCGACACACGUGUUACAAUGGUGGGGACAAAGGGCAGCUACCGUGUGAGCGGAUGCUAAUCUCCAAACCCCAUCUCAGUUCGGAUCGAAGUCUGCAACCCGACUUCGUGAAGCUGGAUUCGCUAGUAAUCGCGCAUCAGCCAUGGCGCGGUGAAUACGUUCCCGGGCCUUGUACACACCGCCCGU